AGGACAACGCUGGCGGCGUGCCUAACACAUGCAAGUCGAGCGGAGAUAGACUGAUGGUAACUGAAGCUUAUCUUAGCGGCGGACGGGUGAGUAACACGUGGGCAACCUGCCUUGGAGUGGGGGAUAACACCGGGAAAUCGGUGCUAAUACCGCAUAACAUACACAAACUGCAUGGUAAGUGUAUCAAAGGAGUAAUCCGCUUUAAGAUGGGCCCGCGGCUGAUUAGCUAGUUGGUAAGGUAACGGCUUACCAAGGCGACGAUCAGUAGCCGACCUGAGAGGGUGACCGGCCACACUGGAACUGAGACACGGUCCAGACUCCUACGGGAGGCAGCAGUGGGGAAUAUUGCGCAAUGGGGGGAACCCUGACGCAGCAACGCCGCGUGGAGGAAGAAGGUCUUCGGAUUGUAAACUCCUGUCUUCUGGGACGAAGUAUGACGGUACCAGAGGAGGAAGCCACGGCUAACUACGUG
Molecule: ribosomal RNA, 472 nt
Filed under: uncultured bacterium
Lineage: Bacteria
Description: bacterial SSU rRNA
Rfam family: Bacterial small subunit ribosomal RNA
Source: RNAcentral